GACGAACGCUGGCGGCGUGCUUAACACAUGCAAGUCGAACGGAAAGGCGCGGCGUUUGCGGGGUGCUCGAGUGGCGAACGGGGGAGUAACACGUGAGUAACCUGCCCUUGACUUUGGGAUAACUUCAGGAAACUGGGGCUAAUACCGGAUAGGAGCUCCUGCUGCAUGGUGGGGGUUGGAAAGUUUCGGCGGUUGGGGAUGGACUCGCGGCUUAUCAGCUUGUUGGUGGGGUAGUGGCUUACCAAGGCUUGGACGGGUAGCCGGCCUGAGAGGGUGACCGGCCACAUUGGGACUGGGAUACGGCCCAGACUCCUACGGGAGGCAGCAGUGGGGAAUAUUGCACAAUGGGCGGAAGCCUGAUGCAGCAACGCCGCGUGCGGGAUGACGGCCUUCGGGUUGUAAACCGCUUUCGCCUGUGACGAAGCGUGAGUGACGGUAAUGGGUAAAGAAGCACCGGCUAACUACG
RNAcentral lists this ribosomal RNA (466 nucleotides) under uncultured bacterium. RNAcentral's name for it is "partial 16S ribosomal RNA". It matches the Rfam family "Bacterial small subunit ribosomal RNA", at positions 28 to 505 of the family's 1533-position model. The record is from RNAcentral.